GGACGAACGCUGGCGGCGUGCUUAACACAUGCAAGUCGAGCGGAAAGGCCCUUCGGGUUACGUCGAGCGGCGAACGGGUGAGUAACACGUGAGUAAUCUGCCUCUAGCUCUGGGAUAGCUCCGGGAAACCGGGAUUAAUACCGGAUACGACCACUCAAGACAUCUUCUGUGGUGGAAAGAAUUUCGGCUAGAGAUGAGCUCGCGGCCUAUCAGCUUGUUGGUGGGGUAACGGCCACCAAGGCGACGACGGGUAGCCGGCCGUGAGAGGGCGACCGGCC
Molecule: ribosomal RNA, 278 nt
Filed under: uncultured bacterium
Lineage: Bacteria
Description: partial 16S ribosomal RNA
Rfam family: Bacterial small subunit ribosomal RNA
Source: RNAcentral